Long non-coding RNA from Pezoporus flaviventris, 451 nucleotides. RefSeq lists it as uncharacterized. The record is from RefSeq and is a predicted model, not a curated record. NCBI's taxonomy places the organism in Eukaryota, Metazoa, Chordata, Aves, Psittaciformes, Psittacidae. The transcript is spliced from 3 exons.
GUGAAUUUUCUAGAAACUUCUUGCCUGGGCUGUAUGGGGACAUUUUCAUAAGCAUGGCAAAAGUCCCCUUCCGACAACUCUCAAGUUAUUCACUCAGCAGGAAGGGCCAAUUUCCUGCACUUAAUGUCUAUCAAGAGUUUCUUUGACUCUGCAGCAUGAGAACUCCAGAAUUAUGCUCUGUAAUUCAGGAACUUCAAGGUUUCAUAUGGCGUGUAGAUAUAUGGCCAGAUCUGGGAAUGUAAAUCAGCACAGUCCCCUGGAGAUCAAUGGAGCUUCAUUAUGCUAUACCAGUUGAAGAUCUGACCAUGCAUAUAAGAGGAGCUGGAUGAAGUCCUUUCAUGUUUCAGGUAGUGUUAUACAUUAGCACCAUGAUGUAGGGCUGCCUUUCUCCCCCACACUCCCCUCAUAAAAGUCUGAAACCUGUUGCCUAUUAUGCCUUUAGCCACCCCUU